This is a long non-coding RNA of Gossypium arboreum, 1202 nucleotides long. RefSeq lists it as uncharacterized. Lineage: Eukaryota; Viridiplantae; Streptophyta; Magnoliopsida; Malvales; Malvaceae. The transcript has 2 exons. The record is from RefSeq and is a predicted model, not a curated record.
GGUCCUCUAAGCUCCCGUUAGACAUGAACUCAUACACUAGGCAUCCAUACUCUGGGCAGGCUCCCAACAGGAGAACCAUGUUUGGAUGCCGUAUGCAGCUUAAAACUUCUACCUGCUCAUAAUACUUAAAUCCAUUUGGAAGCCAUACCUCUUGCUGAAACUGUGACCUUCCUUGUGCUGCAUCUGGUCGCAAAACCUUAAUUGCAACGGGAGUAUGAUCUAGACGGGCUUUAUACACGGGGCCAUAACCCCCUUCCCCAAUCUUGAGAACUUCUGAGAAGAAUUCAGUGGCAGCUUCAAUUUCCUCUAUUGUGUACUUCCUGUACCUGUAAUCUGAAUGUGCUAAUGCAUCAAGUGCCUUUUUCUUUUCCACUGAUUCCUUGAGCGCUUUCAUUUCUGCGUUCACCCUUUUUUGUGAUUCAAUUUCUGCAAUUCUCUGAGCCGCUUCAGCGGCUUCCAUUGCUGCUUUUGACUUAGCUUUCUCCUUUUCUGCUAUUGCUAAUGCAGCUUCCUCAGCAAGUCGUGCCUCUUCCAAUCUCCGUUCCUCUUCCAAUUUCCACAGCUGGAGUUCUCUUGCCUGUUGUGGUGUAAUUAUGCACAAAGCUCUAACUAGUCAAAGUAUGUUGAGGAACAGUAUAAGCAGAUAUUAGUUGACACUCUAACCUUCUGUUUUGCUGUGAGUGCUUCUUUGCAGGCAGUACUAUACAUUUCCAUAGUUUGCUUUAGCUCCAGCUUUAGCCUCCUCAUUUCGGCUUCCACGUCCUCCUGUAUGUUUCCCCCAAUACCAUAAAACUCAUCCAUAUUAUUAUUUCCAGAUAUUGCACACACAUUUUCCUAGAACAUAGAAUAAUACAAAUAAUUAAUUAAAUAUAUGCAUAUAUUGUAACGUAAAUGGGAAGUGUGUAAAGAGGGUGAAACCUGGACUUGGUUACUUCAUUCCACUUUCACCGAUGAUAUUUGAUGAUUUUGAGGUGAAACAUCGUAUUUUUUUAUUGUUAUCUCGUUUAUAAGUAUUAGUUAGACAAACCUGAAAAGUGUAUAUAUCUUUUUUGAAAAAUACGUAUGAUGAAAAUUUAUAUUUUAAUCGAAGUGAGAACCGGUGCUUUUGAUGGUUUAUUUUCGUUGGUGAAUAUAAUGUGUUGUGUUGUACUAGCCUGUCUCACAGUCACAUCAAUGAAUUUAUGCAUGCUUUCCAGGCUUUA